UGAGGAAUAUUGGUCAAUGGACGCAAGUCUGAACCAGCCAUGCCGCGUGAAGGACGAAGGCGUUCUGCGUUGUAAACUUCUUUUAUAAGGGAAGAAACCUGAGUUUUCUAAUUCAGCCGACGGUACCUUAUGAAUAAGCACCGGCUAACUCCGUGCCAGCAGCCGCGGUAAUACGGAGGGUGCAAGCGUUAUCCGGAUUCACUGGGUUUAAAGGGUGUGUAGGCGGGCUAUUAAGUCAGUGGUGAAAUCUCCGAGCUUAACUUGGAAACUGCCAUUGAUACUAUUAGUCUUGAAUAUUGUUGAGGUGGGCGGAAUACAUCAUGUAGCGGUGAAAUGCUUAGAUAUGAUGUAGAACACCGAUUGCGAAGGCAGCUCACUAAGCAAAUAUUGACGCUGAGGCACGAAAGCGUGGGGAUCAAACA
RNAcentral lists this ribosomal RNA (422 nucleotides) under uncultured bacterium. RNAcentral describes it as "bacterial SSU rRNA". It matches the Rfam family "Bacterial small subunit ribosomal RNA", at positions 355 to 774 of the family's 1533-position model. The record is from RNAcentral.